ACUGGUGUUGAUGAUGACUGAUUUUUUCCCCGGCAGAUCGACCCUGUUGACUGCCUGUGUAUUUUAAGCCAAACUUCUCUGAUUCACCAGC
Molecule: small nucleolar RNA, 91 nt
Organism: Brienomyrus brachyistius
Lineage: Eukaryota; Metazoa; Chordata; Actinopteri; Osteoglossiformes; Mormyridae
Product: small nucleolar SNORD12/SNORD106
Exons: 1
Source: RefSeq, a predicted model, not a curated record